Long non-coding RNA from Mesocricetus auratus (golden hamster), 692 nucleotides. RefSeq lists it as uncharacterized. The record is from RefSeq and is a predicted model, not a curated record. Lineage: Eukaryota; Metazoa; Chordata; Mammalia; Rodentia; Cricetidae. The transcript is spliced from 3 exons.
UAGAGUUUGAGGCCCACCUGGCUACAAUAGCAAGCUCUUGUCUCACAAAAGGGAACAGGAUGGAAGGGUGCAGUGGUUACAAACUCCUGACUUCCUGACCCACCAACAGAUCCCAUUUGCAAUUUGGAAAUUGCUACCCCCUAGAUUAGCAGGCUAAACAUAUUGCUAUUUUACAGCAGAGACACUGUGGCCCCGGGAGCAGUCAACAGAUGCUGUAUUUACUGAGGCCCCUCUUUCUUGCCAAGGAUGAAGCCCAGGAUGUCACGUAUGCUAGGCGCACUCCAGCUGCUCUGGGAGAAACAGUCAAAGGGAGGUCAGAGAAGAAUCUGAGAGGCCAAGUUCCAGGUAGAUACAAGAACACCUACCUCACUGAGCCUUCCCCAGACGUCAACCGUGUAUAUUGGGAAAGGACGGGCACCAUGCAGAAGCUUCCAGCAGGCAGGACCUUGCCUCCUGGGUAUGCCCUGUCAGCCACACUGCUGCCUUUGACGUCACCUCAUCAUACUCAGGCAUCCUCCCCCACUGUUGCCAGGCACCUUGUUAAAAACAUCUGGAAUUAAGAUGCCCAUUUGCAUCCUCUUACUGAUAGAGGCACUUCCUGUCCCCCCCUGCCUGAGUACCACCUCCAACAGGCCUUUGCUCAACCCUUCCGCCUAGAGUUCAAUGCCCACUCAGAUCCACCUCCAACACGC